AAAAAGGCAAGCCAUGGGUUUCCGUGUCCAACUUUGACUGUCCGUUUUAUAUGAAAUUUUUUUAUAAUUCGUAUUUUCAUUGUUGUUAGAUGAUAAAACGUGAUUAAUAUUUUAUGCGUGACUUGUCUUUUUAAUUUUUUUCAUAAUUUUUUCAAAUAAGACAGACGGUCAAACAUUGGACACGGAAACCAGGGUUUGUCUUUUU
Molecule: microRNA precursor, 205 nt
Organism: Oryza rufipogon (brownbeard rice)
Lineage: Eukaryota; Viridiplantae; Streptophyta; Magnoliopsida; Poales; Poaceae
Rfam family: MIR812 microRNA precursor family
Source: Rfam